This is a long non-coding RNA of Podarcis raffonei (Aeolian wall lizard), 509 nucleotides long. RefSeq lists it as uncharacterized. The record is from RefSeq and is a predicted model, not a curated record. The transcript is spliced from 3 exons. Lineage: Eukaryota; Metazoa; Chordata; Lepidosauria; Squamata; Lacertidae.
AUAUUGCCCAUCCUGUUCUGGAAUCAUCUGGAUUCGUUCAGUCUCCUCCACCCCAAAUAUUUAUUUCACUUUAGCUCACAGGCUCUCAAAUCGCUUCCUGAUUUAAGCCCUUCUCUGUGCAGGGGUUGAAAGAGUCAUAAAUCACGAUGGAUUCGGUGAGGGUUGACAGUGCUCACAAAAUCCAAUCAGAAGCAGGCAAUAUCCUCUGCCUUCUCAACCUGAGAAGGUGUUUUCUUUUUUUAAAAAAAAAGCUACCUUAGCUCUAAUAGAAAGACGGCCCAUGAAAGCAGCUUAUCAUUUCUUUGAGACGUCCAGAGCUUCCAGGCUAACCAAGUGCCAAAAAAGCAUUUGACCUCAUGAAGGAUUACGUGAUGGCGACUGAUCCAUUAAAUGCUUUGUAAGCCGGAAGCCAGGUUCAAGUCCUUCUUAAGGGAUUUAUUUAAAGCAUUGUAAUAAGGUCACAGAUUCAAAAGAGGAGAAGCGUUGCUGUACAUUAUUAAUGAUCCCUG